RNAcentral lists this ribosomal RNA (253 nucleotides) under uncultured bacterium. RNAcentral describes it as "partial 16S ribosomal RNA". It matches the Rfam family "Bacterial small subunit ribosomal RNA", at positions 524 to 776 of the family's 1533-position model. The record is from RNAcentral.
UACGUAGGGGGCGAGCGUUGUCCGGAGUUACUGGGCGUAAAGGGCAUGCAGGCGGUCGGACGCGUUUCGGGUGACAGCGGGUGGCUUAACUACCCGAGUGGUCGAAAGACGGUUUGACUUGAGGACGCGAGAGGGACACGGAAUUCCAGGUGUAGCGGUGAAAUGCGUAGAUAUCUGGAGGAAUACCGGUGGCGAAGGCGGCAUCCUGGACCGACAUUGACGCUGAACGGCGAAAGCUAGGGGAGCAAACGGG